This 253-nucleotide ribosomal RNA is filed under the name uncultured bacterium. RNAcentral's name for it is "partial 16S ribosomal RNA". It matches the Rfam family "Bacterial small subunit ribosomal RNA", at positions 524 to 776 of the family's 1533-position model. The record is from RNAcentral.
GACGAACCGUGCGAACGUUGUUCGGAAUCACUGGGCUUAAAGGGCGCGUAGGCGGGCGGUCUCGUCGGGGGUGAAAUCCUGCCGCUCAACGGCAGAACUGCCCCCGAUACGGGCCGUCUCGAGGGAGGUAGGGGCCUGCGGAACUUCCGGUGGAGCGGUGAAAUGCGUAGAUAUCGGAAGGAACGCCGGUGGCGAAAGCGGCGGGCUGGACCUCUUCUGACGCUGAGGCGCGAAAGCCAGGGGAGCGAACGGG